Molecule: non-coding RNA, 103 nt
Organism: Canis lupus familiaris (dog)
Lineage: Eukaryota; Metazoa; Chordata; Mammalia; Carnivora; Canidae
Source: RefSeq, marked provisional
UCUUAGUAUCUGUGUGACUGCACUUCUCUGAGCCUCCCUUUCCACAUCUGUGCAGUGGGGCUGUGGGGAGGGCUCAAGGAAGCACUGGGGGUCGGAGGUCAGC